GCUCCGUGUCCCCACAGAAAGGGGUGUUCCCGCGGGGCAGCCGGGCCCUGUGCCCCAGGCUCGCGGCCCCUCAGAGGCCCGCGGCAGCCGCUCGCCCCUCAGCCCUCUCCUCAGCUCUCCUCAGCCCUCUCCUCAGCUCUCCUCAGCCCUCUCCUCAGCCCUCUCCUCAGCCACCUCCUCGCUUCCUUCCUUCCAGGGGCCGGCGUGAAAAGUAUCACCGGGCUGUGAGGGACACCGGCGCCGUUACCCCGCCGCUCAGAGGCUUCCCGAGGCUCCCCCGACAGUCACAUCACAGUCACAGAGAAUGUCAGGCCGUUCACAAGGAAGUAGUGAAUUCCUGUAGUCCGGGAAGAGAUUUCAAGAACUGUCCUCAGGAAGAGGUAUGGAGGAAUAGGUAGGUAGCAUUACUUGAUGCUUUAUAGGGUCAACAAUCAUACUACUCUUAAAUUACUACCCUUUACUAUUUGGAGAGGAGACAGUAGCAUCCUGUUAGAAGAGGGCAGAUGGAAGACUAUGAGCUCUCGUUGUUCAUAACUUUUAACUCGGGCAUAAACACAUCCUUGGGAUGGUCUCAGCUUGCUUUGAACUCCCUAGUCAUUAUUGCAAAGAAGGUAACUCCCAUGAAUAGCAAAGCUGUUGGGUGUGGAAGUUUUGGAGAGCCUGAAAAUCAGGAUUAGUAGAGGAGGAGGUUCUGCAUUGCCUAGUGACAAGACAGGGCCCUGCAGUCUGUUCUUGGAACGCUUCAGAGAAGAAAAUAGUAAUUGUGCGACUAUUCUACAGAUGUUGCAGGUGGCCACAGACAACAUCACUGGAUACGUUCUCGAAAUUACUCCCCAGCGCUAACCUUGCACAAGAUCUGCUGGUGGAGUCCAGCAGUUCGUGCAAAGCAUCUUCAUGUGGUCAUCAUAAAAAUGGGCCAAUCCCCUGGCUUUUAGUCAUUAUAACAGAGCCAUGCAACUCUUUACAUUUUAUAUUUACAUGAUAUUGUAAAAAGUUGCCAGAAAAAAAAUCUGUUUAUAACUUUACUUCUGGAAACAGUGUUUACUCGUCUCAAGAAAGGAUUUCCAGAACUUUGGGUGACAAUUCAGCAAAAUUCUUGCAUAAUCUAUAGGAGAAUUGUUUACGUAAGCAUCAUAGCUUCAGUUUCAGGUAGCUUAAACAAGAAAAAUACUGAGCCAAAGUCUAAUCUGGUUUCAGGUAGUUUAAAUAAUUGCAGGCUUGUGGGGCCUUGCCAGGUCUUGUAAUGCAGACAUUCAGAUCAGUGACUAUGUAGAAAGGAUAAGACAGAGCUGCCUUCAUGUAAAGCUUCAUAUUAGCUUUUAGUCUUUCUGCAAAGCUCCAUUAACAGAUUAACAGUGACAUAAAAAUGUCUAUAGAUAAUACUUUUUACGUCUCCAU
This 1398-nucleotide long non-coding RNA is filed under the name Calidris pugnax (ruff). Its description in RNAcentral is "lncRNA (ENSCPUG00000001512.1)". Lineage: Eukaryota; Metazoa; Chordata; Aves; Charadriiformes; Scolopacidae. The record is from RNAcentral.